This 252-nucleotide ribosomal RNA is filed under the name uncultured bacterium. RNAcentral describes it as "partial 16S ribosomal RNA". It matches the Rfam family "Bacterial small subunit ribosomal RNA", at positions 524 to 776 of the family's 1533-position model. The record is from RNAcentral.
UACGUAGGGGGCGAGCGUUAUCCGGAUUUAUUGGGCGUAAAGCGUGCGUAGGCGGUUUGUUAAGUCCAGGAUUAAAGCCCGAGGCUUAACCUCGGUUCGUUCUGGAAACUGGCAGACUAGAGUAUGGUAGAGGCAAAUGGAAUUCCUAGUGUAGCGGUGAAAUGCGUAGAUAUUAGGAGGAACACCAGUGGCGAAGGCGAUUUGCUGGGCCAUCACUGACGCUGAGGUACGAAAGCGUGGGGAGCAAAUAGG